GUCGCGUACUGCCUGGACAAGAGGCAUCAUUAUGUCGACAACGAGACUCGGGUUGUUCCCCGAGGCUUGCCUGAUCCUGCGCUCGUUGAUCCUCCGGGCGUAGGUCUCUGGGUCGGUUUCCCAAAUAUCUUCUUUAAAGACACCCCCGUCGUCGCCAUCGAUGAUAGCCCCUGUCGUGUCGGACACGAGCAGACGCCUGAUCAGUGAGCCUCCCUGACUGAUCAAGACCGCGCGGACGAGGUCAGCGGCAGUGGUCUGGCCGUCGGGGCGCCAUGGGACGACGGACGAAAUGGCAAGAAUAUAGGGUCUUUGUAUCUCUCCAGUGGGGGCAACGACGGGCCACCUUUGGCGGGCUUUGGCAAUGUCGACAUCCGAGGCCAGUUUGGGCGCGGUGGGGUCGAUGCGCGCACCAUAUUUACCCGGCUCCAUCUUGGCGACGCGCUUGCCGAAAUUACUCAACAUGUCGGCGACUCUUUCGGCAGUGGCGAACCCGUCACCCGCAUAGUCCUUGGUGGUCAGGUCGAGUAUCAUGGCGUCCGAAUCGACGGGUCCGUAGCCCAGGGCCCGACUGGCGAUCUCGUUCAUGCGCACAAGCACCGUCACGGGCGAGGGAGGCCACAGGCGCCCGCCCUCGGCCAGUGGAUCUACCAGUGGCCUAAUCCACUCGGGACCACCCAUAGUCGGUGGGUAAUCGUAUCCAUCUUUGUCUCGAUUGUACCUCGAACCAACAUUGGGUUUAGACAGCACCUCUAGAAGCCGAUCGUAGGCUGACGGCAGCGCUUGUAUCUCAAGUGUGGGCUGGCCGGAAGACGACGCCAUGGAAAACUGUUGGAGUGUCUGUAGCAGGGCCGCCGCGCGUGGAUCGAUCCCACGGUACAGGCCCCGCGGGGCCAUUUCAUCGAUCCACUGCCGGAGGGCUUCCGGCGAGUCGAGACCGCUGUCGACGGCCCACUGACGCACGGCGUCCCAUCCUACCGUCUCCUGCGGCAGAUUUCGAGCGGCGGUCUGGCGUGCGGCCUGCAUCUGACUGUCUUUGUCUGGCACAAACCACCUCGAUUUCCUUUUCUGUCUAGGUGGACUCGCGGUGACGAAUCGUGUGAGGUUCCUUGCCCAGCGGACGCGGAAACUUGGUGGCCGGCCUACAAAGUUUACGGCGCAGCAUCUCCGAGGCAGCAUCGAUUGGCCUGCCGAAAGCAAUCCCUGUGCUGGCCAAUGGCUGGCCGGCCCCUAGCCGGCCCGGCUGUGAAUGGGUCGACCGGGCUGCGACCAAGUCAAUCUCUGGCAGGAAUCGAACCCGCCAACACUGCUUUCUGUAUUGUCAAUAAAUUGUACACAAGUCAUGCUUGGAAAAAAAGAUGCGAAC
RNAcentral lists this long non-coding RNA (1363 nucleotides) under Pandoravirus celtis. RNAcentral describes it as "hypothetical ncRNA". The record is from RNAcentral.